Molecule: ribosomal RNA, 447 nt
Filed under: uncultured bacterium
Lineage: Bacteria
Description: partial 16S ribosomal RNA
Rfam family: Bacterial small subunit ribosomal RNA
Source: RNAcentral
CUACGGGAGUCAGCAGUCGAGAAUAUUGGACAAUGGGGGAAACCCUGAUCCAGCGACGCCGCGUGUUUGAAGAAGUUCUUCGGAAUGUAAAAAACUUUUUUAAGGGAGCAAUCCUUCGGGAUGAGAGUACCUUAAGAAUAAGGGGUGACUAAACUCGUGCCAGCAGUAGCGGUAAUACGAGUGCCCCGAGCGUUAUCCGUAUUUAUUGGGCGUAAAGGGUCCGUAGGCGUUCUGUUAAGUUUUCUGUUAAAUCCUCGAGCUCAACUUGAGAGCUGCAGAAAAAACUGGCAGAAUAGAGUACGUUAGAGGCUAAUAGAACACUUGGUGGAGGGGUGAAAUCCGUUGAUAUCAAGUGGAAUACCAAAUGCGAAGGCAAUUAGCUGGGGCGAUCCUGACGCUGAGGGACGAAAGUGUGGGAAUCAAAAAGGAUUAGAUACCCGCGUAGUC